RNAcentral lists this RNase P RNA (414 nucleotides) under Alcaligenaceae bacterium. Its description in RNAcentral is "RNase P RNA component class A". It matches the Rfam family "Bacterial RNase P class A". Rfam says of the family: Ribonuclease P (RNase P) is a ubiquitous endoribonuclease, found in archaea, bacteria and eukarya as well as chloroplasts and mitochondria. Its best characterised activity is the generation of mature 5'-ends of tRNAs by cleaving the 5'-leader elements of precursor-tRNAs. Lineage: Bacteria; Pseudomonadati; Pseudomonadota; Betaproteobacteria; Burkholderiales; Alcaligenaceae. The record is from RNAcentral.
AAGGCAGACUGGGCAAUCGCGGUGCUUUCGGGCAGCGAGGAAGGUCCGGACUCCAUAGGGCAGGAUAACGGUUAACGACCGUCCGGUGCUCAGGCGGCGCAAGCUAGUUGAGCGUUGAGGAUUAGGGCCACAGAGACGAGUCUGCAUUGGGGGUGUGCUUUCGGGCGCACUCUGUCACGGUGCUGCCGUGAUGCUGGGUUUGCUAGUCAAAUCCGACAAUGCAGGGUGAAACGCGGCAACCUCUAUCCGGAGCAACACCAAAUAGGCAUACGUGUGACCUUUUGUCACGACGGGCGGCUCGCUCAAGUAUGCGGGUAGGUGGCUAGAGCAUGUCAGCAAUGGCAUGCCAAGAGGAAUGAUUGCCGGCCUAAGUAAUUAGGCUUACAGAAUCCGGCCUACAGGUCUGUCUUGCAC